Molecule: long non-coding RNA, 4329 nt
Filed under: Homo sapiens (human)
Lineage: Eukaryota; Metazoa; Chordata; Mammalia; Primates; Hominidae
Description: HSALNT0082729
Source: RNAcentral
UGCCUCAGCCUCCCAAAGUGCUGGGAUUACAGGCGUGAGCCACUGCACCUGGCCUCUCUCAUUAUUUUUUAUUUAUCCUUCUUGACACUCAGUGGCCCUUAUAAAUUUGGAGACUUGAGUUGUUUUUCAGCUUUUAGAAAUCGAUUUCUAUCAUUUCUGUAAUUAUUUCCACUUUCCAUUGGCACUUCUCCCAUGGGCAUUUCUAAGAUUUUGGAAUAUUCUUUGUGCUUCUAACUCUCAAACACUUUCCACAUUUGGAUCUUUUGGCUAGUUUCCUGGGAGAAUCUUUUUAAAAAUAUUUCAACUAAUUUGCUUUUCAAUUGAGUGCAUUUUACCUUUUAGAUCACCCAUGAAUUUUUUGACAAUUAUAUUUAAAAGAUUCUGAGAUCACCAGGUAUUUCUUUGUAAGGUAUAAAUAAUCUUCUCUAAUAUCCUUGUCAUAAUUAGUUACACUUGUUAUAUUUAUUAAUUAGGUUGCUGUUAGUGCUUCUUUCCAUCGAGUUUGGUGUAUUUGACUCCUGGCACAGGGUUUGCCCAAAUGCUUGUGGAUUUGUCUUUUCCUUUGAAAUCCUUGUCCACUGGGCUCUUGUGUUUCUAGGAGUCAGUCAUGGUCCAUUGGGCUCUUGUGUUUCUAGGAGUCAGUCAUGGUCUGUUGGGGUCUUCUGUUUCUAGGAGUCAGUCGUGGGUAGCAACUGCAGGUGAGGCGCUAUUUGAGGGCUCUCAGGAUGGAUGAGUUCUUUCUCGGAUGCUAGCAGCUCCCUGGGCACGCUCCUCAUUCUCUUGCUCAGGAAAUCUCACUUCCUGCCUUCUCAGGGGCAAAUGCUCUUCCCGACCACUGCUCCGUAAAGGGGAAGAAGAUGUAGGGGCCAGAGGGGUCCAGGUGCUUCUGUUGUGGUUACCAUGUUAACUACCCACCACAACUAUCCCAGAGCAGUUUUUAUCUGUGGAGCCUUAACUCGGAGCUCCUCAAAACCCAUGUCUAGUCAAUAGCAUUUUCUCAUAAUUGUCUUUCAGAUUUCUUCCAGGCUGUUUUCCCCCAUAUUCUUUCUUUGUUGGCUUAAUACACUUUCUUUCUUUUAGGAAUUCUGCAGGCCUCCUGCUGUGGAUUGAAUAUUUCUGUCCCUCCACAAUUCUUAUAUGGGCCCCCUAGUCCCCAUUGUGAUGGUAUUUGGAGACAGGGCCUUUGGGUGCAGAUGUUAUGAGGCCAGAGACCUCAUGGUGGGAUUAGUGUUCUUAUGAGAAGACCAUGAGAGCAGGCUUCCUCUCUGCUCCCCCUGCCACGUGGGACACAAUGAGGAGACAGCACGUCUCACGCGGAUGCAGCCUUCACCAGGCACUGCAUCUGCCAGCGAUUUGGUCCUCUCAGCCUACAGAACUUUGAGAAAUAAAUGUGUGUUGUUUAAGCCACCCAGUCUGUGGUAUUUUUCGUUAUAGCAUCCCAAACUGAUUUAGAGACCUUCUUAUACUCUUUCUUGAAUUUUUUUUUCCUUUUUUAAAAAAUUCUAUUAUUUCAUGAGAGGUAGGAUAGAAGUGAUUUGCUCACUCUGAUUGUUGGCUGGUUUGUUUCUCUCCUGAAUUUUCAGCAGUAAACACAGGGCACACCACUGGGCUACAUUGUUCCUGAGGGAACUGGCUCACAGCAAAGUGGGGUGGACACAAAGGUUGUCGCAUCUCCCCGAGGUUUCCAGUUCUGUGCGUUCUCCCACUCUGGAAGACUCAAGAAUCUUAAAAAUCAUUUAUGUGCAAUUCUAAAAGAUGAAGUAGUUAUUUCCUGGGGGAGUCUACAUUUUUGAAAGAAUCUAAGUCACGUCUUAAAGCGUUGCACGUACUUACAAGCAAUCUGGGAAAGUUACAGGCAAAGGUAAAGGGCCGGGAGGUCACAGGCAAAGGUAAAGGGCCUGGAGGUCACGCACAUUCCCGCCAGUAGGCCACGUACACUGCCGCCACGCGGUCACGCACACUGCCGCGGGAGUUCACGCACACUGACGUGGGAGGUCACGCACACUGCCGCCGGGAGGCCGCGCACACUGCCGCUGUUGUGUGGGUUUGUGUUGAAGGUAAAGGGCCGGGAGGCCGCGCACACUGCCGCUGUUGUCCGGGUUUGUGUUGAAGGUAAAGGGCCGGGAGGCCGCGCACACUGCCGCUGUUGUCCGGGUUUGUGUUGAAGGUAAAGGGCCGGGAGGCCGCGCACACUGCCGCUGUUGUCCGGGUUUGUGUUGAAGGUAAAGGGCCGGGAGGCCGCGCACACUGCCGCUGUUGUCCGGGUUUGUGUUGAAGGUAAAGGGCCGGGAGGCCGCGCACACUGCCGCUGUUGUCUGGGUUUGUGUUGAAGGUAAGGAACAUCCGUGCUCAUUUUCAAACUUAGGUUUACGUGUUCUCCCCAGGUUCUUUUGUUCUUUUGUCAUAUCAAAGAGGUCUUGAGUUACUGGUGUUCAAUCAAAGAGGACAAAUGUAUCAUUAUUAUAUCUUAACAUCCUAUUUAUUAUUAAUUACAUGCUAGUGCUAUUCUGGAAGGCCCCAGAAGUUCCAGAUAGUGAAUCUUAGUUGAAAAUGUAUUAUUACAUAAUUUGAAUAAGAAAUAUUUUGUUAAAUUCACAACAUAUUGAUGGAGAAUCAACUUAUUCAUUUUGAUACAAUAAGCUUUUAUAUUUUAGAGUUUCUGAAAACACAUAGUUUUUUUCUUAAUAUUAUAGAUUAUGCUAAAGAUAACUUGGAAAUCAGUUGGUCAAAUGCCCUAAUUUAAUAGACAAGGACAUGAAGGUAAAGAAAUAAGAUAGGUGAAGUAUGCUCACUCAACUGGCCGUCGGCUGCAAAUGGAAAGCAAAGUUUUACUCCAGCCCCCAAGUCCUCAUUCUUUCCAUCCUGACAUGCUGCACACAAGGAGAGCUUCCAGUGAAUAUUUGUCCCUAAUCAGGAAUUAUUCCAAAGAGCAAACCUGAGUAUAAGAAAUUAAAGAAACUAUUUUCUUUUUCAUCAAAUCUCUUUAAUAAACUUUAAAAAUAGCAUUUCCAGUAACUCGUGCCUGAUUUCUCUGGAACAAAAAGAAAGCAGAAAGUAAAACAGGAAAUACACAGGCAGUCCUUGAACUGAUGGAAUCAUUUUAACAAAUAUUAAACAGUGAAUAGCACAUUAUAUUUUUACUGCGUGCAGCUUAUGUCUUAUUUUUUACAUUUUACUUAAUGGUCCCUGACUUUUCUGAUACUUUUUGUAAGCAGAAACAAAAUAAUGGGGUGCUUUUUCAUGAAACUAGGUCACCCCUCAUAAUCACUACCACAAGUUACAUAUUCAUGCUUAAAUGUAGCAAUUGUUUUUCAAUCAGAAGUUGAAAUGAUGUAUCAUGUGGGGACUCUUUCCUCGCAAAUGGUAAUAAAUUCUUUAGAAAAAUGCUCACUGGGAGGAAGAGUUAUGGUAACUCACUGGAGGCAAAUGCUUCUUAGAUAUCAUAUGGAAUUAAUGCAGUGACCCAAAAUGUGAGUGUGCGUGUGUAUGUGUGUGUGUGAGACUGUGUGUGUGAGUGUGUGCGUAUGUCUGCGUGUGUAUGUGUGGUGUGUGUGCGUGUGUGUGUAUGUGGGUGUGUAUGUGUGUGUGAGUGCGUGUGUAUGUGUGGUGUAUGAGUGUGACUGGUGUGUGAGUGUGCGUAUGUGUGGUGUAUGUGUGUGAGUGUGUGACUGAGUUGUGUGAUGUGUGUGAGUGUGCGUGUGUAUGUGUGGUGUGCCAAUGUGUGCUUGACAACACAAUUUAUGCAAUCUGGAAAAUGUCAGUCUUUCAAAAUGAUAAAAAUGUUUGAAUUGCUUAAAAAAUCAGUCAUUUGGCAUAAAGUUAAACACUUAAAACAGUGGAAAUAAUAUUAGCAAUAGCUUAACCAAGUGCUGUUUAUAUGCUAGACACUUUUAUAAACUUUUACUUUUGAUUUAAUCCAUUCAAUCCUUACACUACAGGACAGACAUUACCGUUACUCCCAUAUUAGAGGGGCAUGGAAACUUGCUCAAAGUCAAACAUCAGGGAAGUCACAGAGCCGGGGUUGCAGCCAAGCCGUCCGACUUGCCAUUCAAGCCUUCAACUGUCUCCAGGCUAACCCUCCCAGAGCGCCUCACCCCCUUUACUUUCCUAUCCAGCAGCCAGUAUUGUUACCAGAAGCCUAGGAGUACUCAGGAUUUUAUGUACUUUAAGUUGACGUGUGUGUGUGUGUGUGUGUGUGUGUGUGUGUGCGCGCAUGUAGGAAGGUAAUGGUAGUGGUGGUGGAUUUUUAAAUUGUUUUUUUUGGUAGUGAAUUCAUUUGUGAUCUACUUUUUGAUAAUUUAAACAAUCUAACUUCUUAAUUCUUUUCCC